GUCGUUAUCCAUUGCACCGAAACCUUUGCGAUACGUUGCCCAAUCCCUAUUGAAAUCCUCAUUUCGCCCAACUCGUUGUUGUAUUACAAUCCAUCCAGGUCCAGCUAACUGACUAUCGCAUAACACAUCAAAUAAACCUACGCCAGAAACAUUGAGUUUAUGAACAUCUGAAUCUCCAAAUGGGAUGCAAGAUGUGGGACUUAACUUAUCAAGUUCAGAUUGACAUAACUGAUUUUCUUUCACUUUAUCUAUUAGCUUAGUUUGACUAUCUUUUAGUUGCAAUUCAAUUCUUUUCUG
Drosophila albomicans is the source of this 297-nucleotide long non-coding RNA. RefSeq lists it as uncharacterized. The transcript has 3 exons. Lineage: Eukaryota; Metazoa; Arthropoda; Insecta; Diptera; Drosophilidae. The record is from RefSeq and is a predicted model, not a curated record.